RNAcentral lists this ribosomal RNA (253 nucleotides) under uncultured bacterium. RNAcentral's name for it is "partial 16S ribosomal RNA". It matches the Rfam family "Bacterial small subunit ribosomal RNA", at positions 524 to 776 of the family's 1533-position model. The record is from RNAcentral.
UACGUAGGCAGCGAGCGUUGUUCGGAAUUACUGGGCGUAAAGCGCGCGUAGGCGGACCUGCAAGUCGGGGGUGAAAGCCCGAGGCUCAACCUCGGAACUGCCUUCGAUACUGCGGGUCUCGAGUCCGGGAGAGGUGAGUGGAAUUCCUAGUGUAGAGGUGAAAUUCGUAGAUAUUAGGAAGAACACCAGUGGCGAAGGCGGCUCACUGGCCCGGUACUGACGCUGAGGCGCGAAAGCGUGGGGAGCAAACAGG